GCAACUGUGGUAUAGUGGUUAACAUGCUCGCUUCCCAAGCGAGCGGCCCGGGUUGGAACCCCGGCAGUUGAG
Molecule: non-coding RNA, 72 nt
Organism: Blyttiomyces helicus
Lineage: Eukaryota; Fungi; Chytridiomycota; Chytridiomycetes
Source: the annotation of a GenBank genome assembly